GCCUGGGUGGCUCAGUCGGUUGAGCGUCCGACUUCGGCUCAGGUCAUGAUCUCACAGUUUGUGGGUUCAAGCCCCGCAUCAGGCU
Transfer RNA from Felis catus (domestic cat), 85 nucleotides. It matches the Rfam family "tRNA". Rfam says of the family: Transfer RNA (tRNA) molecules are approximately 80 nucleotides in length. Their secondary structure includes four short double-helical elements and three loops (D, anti-codon, and T loops). Lineage: Eukaryota; Metazoa; Chordata; Mammalia; Carnivora; Felidae. The record is from Rfam.